This is a long non-coding RNA of Polyodon spathula (Mississippi paddlefish), 2394 nucleotides long. RefSeq lists it as uncharacterized. The record is from RefSeq and is a predicted model, not a curated record. The transcript has 4 exons. Lineage: Eukaryota; Metazoa; Chordata; Actinopteri; Acipenseriformes; Polyodontidae.
AGGACUGAACCCAAGGUCACCCAAAAGGUGAUCUAUUUUGUGAAAAAUGUGCUUGGACAUUUUGUCCACUCCUAUGUUUUUAGGCCCUUUCAGUCGUCGGAUUAGGAGCAGGCCUGAUUGAAGCAGUGGUCGUCAAUCCCUUUGAAGUUGUCAAAGUCAGUCUACAAGCAAAUCAGAAUGCAUUUGCAGAGCAACCUUCAGCGUUUGGCUAGGCACGGAACAUGAUCCACACCAAUGGGUUUGGCUUGCAAGGCCUCAACAAGGGGCUGACCUCUACCCUGGGUCAUCAUGGUGUGUUCAGCAUGAUCUACUUCGGGUUCUACUUCAACAUCAAGAACAUGUUCCUAGCCUUUCAGGUAUUUAACAUCGUAUAAGGGAUUGGUACCCACAGGAGGUGCAGUGAUGCUGCUAGUUUAUGAAUACACAUGGCUGGCUGCAGAACUACUGGUGAAGGAAAGCCAGUCACCCAGAGGAAGUCUUAAUAAUUUGAAGAUGUUACAUAUGAUGUUAAUCCACAAAAGCAGCAACUAUUUUUAGGAGUUAUUUUCCAUUUUAAAGCUAUUGAAUACUGUAGAAAUUAUACAGGAGAUGUUUUUUUUUUUUUUUUUUCCAUAUAGAGAUACAGCAUCCCCUUUCUUUACCCAAAAUCAAAUAAUGUGUUCUGGAAACUAACACAUGGUUUCCGUAUACCAACUUCUGUAUACAACGUCUAAUUCCAGGUUUGGCACAGCUCUGUAAGUACUUAAUUGCAGCUGAUUAAAACACAUGCCAGUUCCAGAAAACGUUAGUGCAACAAAAGAAAAGUAAAUAACUCGUGCCAGACAACAAUGAACUUAAGUGCUGGAGUUCAAGUUUUUGGUAUGAUUUUAGUUUUUAAGCAAAUCCGCUUUUUGCUGUGUUAAGUGGGUGCUGCCUGUUUAGAUAAAGCAUGAUUGAAACUUAAACUUAGUGAACAAACAUUUUUUAACAUUUUACUCACGUUUUAGGUCUCUUUUAAAUGUUUUACCUUUCUUCAAUUCAGCCUUAUGGAACUUCUCAGGGAACCAGUCUUUAAAAAAAAAAAAAAAAAAACUUUAGUAUCUGUCAGUAUAGCUUUAAAGCUGUUCUGUAAAAGUUAGAAGAACAGCAUCAUUAUCUGUGUAACAGUAUAGUUGGUUCAGACUUGCCUUAUCUAAUUACCUCCUUGAAGACAGUUUAUCCUCUUUAAGCCAUGCAUUAUUUUGUGCUUUACUGCAUUUUAAUUCCUGACCUGAUGCAAUUUUUACAUAGCAAAAAUAAAUAAAUAAUAAAAUUGUUUUUUUAAUAAAUGUUAUACAGGUUUAAUUCAACAGAAGAAAGUGGCUUAUGCUUCUACUCUGAUUUAUAGCAAGAAUAACAAUUUAACCACAAUGCCUAAUAUAAAACAAUAAAUAUGGUAUCACUUUUAUUGUAGAAAUAAAUAUUGAUGCUGGACACUGUAUCAAAAUUGAUCAUAUGCCAUGCUGCAUGGAUAUUGUUUUAGGCCAAAUCUGUCAUGAAUCUGCUACAUGCAAAAGGAUUCUCUUAUGUUUCAAAGGUCCAUUAUCGCCCAGUAAUGAACCUGAAGUUAGCUGUUUGAUCAUGAAGUAAACAUUAAUAAUCAACAAUUCACACUUAACUCUCAGGCUUACUGUUGAUUCAUUGUGCAGAAGCACUGAAAGAAACAGAGUAGUAGUAGAGUCUCCAUUAUAAAAGUGCACUACAAUUAUGUUUUCCCAUGGUUGUAAUAUGCAUUUAUCCUAGUUUGCCAUGUUUUUAUUAUGCUGUACUGUAGAUCUCUUGGCUUUGUCAUGCUUACCUGUUUACUCUGCUUUCACUUUGCUUUUUUACACUUUGAUAUAAAUAGUAGCUGGGUGCUAAUAUGAAUAAGUGCUGAAAGGAUCAUUAAUUGAUUGUUCAUUAUAAUUGAAUAUUAAAUUAUGUAAUUGAUUAACUCCCUCAAACUGCAAGAGGUGAAUUGUGCUGUGGAAUGUUGCUGGAUACAGUCAGAUACUGAAAAGGACCAAUACAGUUACAAACCAUCAACUUAUAAAAAUAAUACUUUUAUUUAACGAAAAAGCUAUUUUGCGAUGAAAAUAUGUUUACAAGAUUGGGACAAAGACAGUAGUCUUAUCAUUGUAUGUAUUUGUUUGCUUGUUGGGAGUAGUUGAUUUUCACAUUGGUAAGAAAUGUAUGAAUUUGUCUAAAGGCAGCUUUGAUCAGAAACCAGAGGCCAUUCUAUAAUAAAAAUACAAUUGUUUUAAAAAAAAGUUAUGAUUUUUACAUUAUUAGAAACACUUGAUGAAAUUAGUCUUCUUGUCUACAGUUGGACAUGCCUUAUAUUGUUUUUAUAAUUAUCGCCCACUUGCAAUGCAUAUUCCAGGUGACAGGAAGCAG